Molecule: ribosomal RNA, 490 nt
Filed under: uncultured bacterium
Lineage: Bacteria
Description: bacterial SSU rRNA
Rfam family: Bacterial small subunit ribosomal RNA
Source: RNAcentral
CGCUGGCGGCGUGCCUAACACAUGCAAGUCGAACGCCAAAGGGGGCAACCCUGAGUAGCGUGGCAUCCGGGUGAGUAACACGUGGGUAAUCUACCUCUAGGUGGGGAAUAACUCAGGGAAACUUGAGAUAAUACCGCAUAAUGCAGCGGCUCGGUAUCGAGACAGUUGUUAAAGCGGGGGAUCGCAAGACCUCGCGCCAAGAGAGGAGCCUGCGUCUGAUUAGCUUGAUGGUAAGGUAACGGCUUACCAUGGCAAUGAUCAGUAGCCGACCUGAGAGGGCGGUCGGCCACACUGGCACUGAAACACGGGCCAGACUCCUACGGGAGGCAGCAGUGGGGAAUUUUGGGCAAUGGGCGCAAGCCUGACCCAGCAACGCCGCGUGAGCGAUGAAGUCCUUCGGGAUGUAAAGCUCGUAAGUAUGGGAAGAAUAAUAAGGUGCUAACACCAUCUUAGAUGACGGUACCAUACGUAAGCCCCGGCUAACUCCGUG